This 754-nucleotide ribosomal RNA is filed under the name Micromonospora auratinigra. RNAcentral's name for it is "bacterial SSU rRNA". It matches the Rfam family "Bacterial small subunit ribosomal RNA", at positions 104 to 872 of the family's 1533-position model. Lineage: Bacteria; Bacillati; Actinomycetota; Actinomycetes; Micromonosporales; Micromonosporaceae. The record is from RNAcentral.
GGGUGAGUAACACGUGAGUAACCUGCCCUAGGCUUUGGGAUAACCCUCGGAAACGGGGGCUAAUACCGGAUAUGACCGCUGAUCGCAUGGUUGGUGGUGGAAAGUUUUUCGGCCUGGGAUGGGCUCGCGGCCUAUCAGCUUGUUGGUGGGGUGAUGGCCUACCAAGGCGACGACGGGUAGCCGGCCUGAGAGGGCGACCGGCCACACUGGGACUGAGACACGGCCCAGACUCCUACGGGAGGCAGCAGUGGGGAAUAUUGCACAAUGGGCGGAAGCCUGAUGCAGCGACGCCGCGUGAGGGAUGACGGCCUUCGGGUUGUAAACCUCUUUCAGCAGGGACGAAGCGUAAGUGACGGUACCUGCAGAAGAAGCGCCGGCCAACUACGUGCCAGCAGCCGCGGUAAGACGUAGGGCGCGAGCGUUGUCCGGAUUUAUUGGGCGUAAAGAGCUCGUAGGCGGCUUGUCGCGUCGACUGUGAAAACCCGCAGCUCAACUGCGGGCCUGCAGUCGAUACGGGCAGGCUAGAGUUCGGUAGGGGAGACUGGAAUUCCUGGUGUAGCGGUGAAAUGCGCAGAUAUCAGGAGGAACACCGGUGGCGAAGGCGGGUCUCUGGGCCGAUACUGACGCUGAGGAGCGAAAGCGUGGGGAGCGAACAGGAUUAGAUACCCUGGUAGUCCACGCUGUAAACGUUGGGCGCUAGGUGUGGGGGGCCUCUCCGGUUCUCUGUGCCGCAGCUAACGCUUUAGCGCCCCGC